Molecule: ribosomal RNA, 2393 nt
Filed under: Staphylococcus aureus M1487
Lineage: Bacteria; Bacillati; Bacillota; Bacilli; Caryophanales; Staphylococcaceae
Description: bacterial LSU rRNA
Rfam family: Bacterial large subunit ribosomal RNA
Source: RNAcentral
UUAAGUUAUUAAGGGCGCACGGUGGAUGCCUUGGCACUAGAAGCCGAUGAAGGACGUUACUAACGACGAUAUGCUUUGGGGAGCUGUAAGUAAGCUUUGAUCCAGAGAUUUCCGAAUGGGGAAACCCAGCAUGAGUUAUGUCAUGUUAUCGAUAUGUGAAUACAUAGCAUAUCAGAAGGCACACCCGGAGAACUGAAACAUCUUAGUACCCGGAGGAAGAGAAAGAAAAUUCGAUUCCCUUAGUAGCGGCGAGCGAAACGGGAAGAGCCCAAACCAACAAGCUUGCUUGUUGGGGUUGUAGGACACUCUAUACGGAGUUACAAAGGACGACAUUAGACGAAUCAUCUGGAAAGAUGAAUCAAAGAAGGUAAUAAUCCUGUAGUCGAAAAUGUUGUCUCUCUUGAGUGGAUCCUGAGUACGACGGAGCACGUGAAAUUCCGUCGGAAUCUGGGAGGACCAUCUCCUAAGGCUAAAUACUCUCUAGUGACCGAUAGUGAACCAGUACCGUGAGGGAAAGGUGAAAAGCACCCCGGAAGGGGAGUGAAAUAGAACCUGAAACCGUGUGCUUACAAGUAGUCAGAGCCCGUUAAUGGGUGAUGGCGUGCCUUUUGUAGAAUGAACCGGCGAGUUACGAUUUGAUGCAAGGUUAAGCAGUAAAUGUGGAGCCGUAGCGAAAGCGAGUCUGAAUAGGGCGUUUAGUAUUUGGUCGUAGACCCGAAACCAGGUGAUCUACCCUUGGUCAGGUUGAAGUUCAGGUAACACUGAAUGGAGGACCGAACCGACUUACGUUGAAAAGUGAGCGGAUGAACUGAGGGUAGCGGAGAAAUUCCAAUCGAACCUGGAGAUAGCUGGUUCUCUCCGAAAUAGCUUUAGGGCUAGCCUCAAGUGAUGAUUAUUGGAGGUAGAGCACUGUUUGGACGAGGGGCCCCUCUCGGGUUACCGAAUUCAGACAAACUCCGAAUGCCAAUUAAUUUAACUUGGGAGUCAGAACAUGGGUGAUAAGGUCCGUGUUCGAAAGGGAAACAGCCCAGACCACCAGCUAAGGUCCCAAAAUAUAUGUUAAGUGGAAAAGGAUGUGGCGUUGCCCAGACAACUAGGAUGUUGGCUUAGAAGCAGCCAUCAUUUAAAGAGUGCGUAAUAGCUCACUAGUCGAGUGACACUGCGCCGAAAAUGUACCGGGGCUAAACAUAUUACCGAAGCUGUGGAUUGUCCUUUGGACAAUGGUAGGAGAGCGUUCUAAGGGCGUUGAAGCAUGAUCGUAAGGACAUGUGGAGCGCUUAGAAGUGAGAAUGCCGGUGUGAGUAGCGAAAGACGGGUGAGAAUCCCGUCCACCGAUUGACUAAGGUUUCCAGAGGAAGGCUCGUCCGCUCUGGGUUAGUCGGGUCCUAAGCUGAGGCCGACAGGCGUAGGCGAUGGAUAACAGGUUGAUAUUCCUGUACCACCUAUAAUCGUUUUAAUCGAUGGGGGGACGCAGUAGGAUAGGCGAAGCGUGCGAUUGGAUUGCACGUCUAAGCAGUAAGGCUGAGUAUUAGGCAAAUCCGGUACUCGUUAAGGCUGAGCUGUGAUGGGGAGAAGACAUUGAGUCUUCGAGUCGUUGAUUUCACACUGCCGAGAAAAGCCUCUAGAUAGAAAAUAGGUGCCCGUACCGCAAACCGACACAGGUAGUCAAGAUGAGAAUUCUAAGGUGAGCGAGCGAACUCUCGUUAAGGAACUCGGCAAAAUGACCCCGUAACUUCGGGAGAAGGGGUGCUCUUUAGGGUUAACGCCCAGAAGAGCCGCAGUGAAUAGGCCCAAGCGACUGUUUAUCAAAAACACAGGUCUCUGCUAAACCGUAAGGUGAUGUAUAGGGGCUGACGCCUGCCCGGUGCUGGAAGGUUAAGAGGAGUGGUUAGCUUCUGCGAAGCUACGAAUCGAAGCCCCAGUAAACGGCGGCCGUAACUAUAACGGUCCUAAGGUAGCGAAAUUCCUUGUCGGGUAAGUUCCGACCCGCACGAAAGGCGUAACGAUUUGGGCACUGUCUCAACGAGAGACUCGGUGAAAUCAUAGUACCUGUGAAGAUGCAGGUUACCCGCGACAGGACGGAAAGACCCCGUGGAGCUUUACUGUAGCCUGAUAUUGAAAUUCGGCACAGCUUGUACAGGAUAGGUAGGAGCCUUUGAAACGUGAGCGCUAGCUUACGUGGAGGCGCUGGUGGGAUACUACCCUAGCUGUGUUGGCUUUCUAACCCGCACCACUUAUCGUGGUGGGAGACAGUGUCAGGCGGGCAGUUUGACUGGGGCGGUCGCCUCCUAAAAGGUAACGGAGGCGCUCAAAGGUUCCCUCAGAAUGGUUGGAAAUCAUUCAUAGAGUGUAAAGGCAUAAGGGAGCUUGACUGCGAGACCUACAAGUCGAGC